This 700-nucleotide ribosomal RNA is filed under the name uncultured Actinomycetes bacterium. RNAcentral describes it as "bacterial SSU rRNA". It matches the Rfam family "Bacterial small subunit ribosomal RNA", at positions 38 to 756 of the family's 1533-position model. The record is from RNAcentral. Lineage: Bacteria; Bacillati; Actinomycetota; Actinomycetes.
GGCGGCGUGCUACACAUGCAAGUCGAGCGGAAAGGCCACUUCGGUGGUACUCGAGCGGCGAACGGGUGAGUAACACGUGAGUAAUCUGCCCCUGGCUUCGGGAUAGCCACCGGAAACGGUGAUUAAUACCGGAUAUGACAGACCCUCGCAUGGGGGUGUGUGGAAAGUUUUUCGGCCAGGGAUGUGCUCGCGGCCUAUCAGCUUGAUGGUGAGGUAAUGGCUCACCAUGGCUUCGACGGGUAGCCGGCCUGAGAGGGUGACCGGUCACACUGGGACUGAGACACGGCCCAGACUCCUACGGGAGGCAGCAGUGGGGAAUAUUGGACAAUGGGCGGAAGCCUGAUCCAGCAACGCCGCGUGAGGGAUGACGGCCUUCGGGUUGUAAACCUCUUUCAGUACCGACGAAGCGCAAGUGACGGUAGGUACAGAAGAAGCACCGGCCAACUACGUGCCAGCAGCCGCGGUAAUACGUAGGGUGCGAGCGUUGUCCGGAAUUAUUGGGCGUAAAGGGCUCGUAGGCGGUUUGUCGCGUCGGGAGUGAAAACGCCGUGCUUAACACGGCGCUUGCUUCCGAUACGGGCAGACUAGAGGUAUUCAGGGGAGAACGGAAUUCCUGGUGUAGCGGUGAAAUGCGCAGAUAUCAGGAGGAACACCGGUGGCGAAGGCGGUUCUCUGGGAAUGACCUGACGCUGAGGAGCGA